UGCCCUCUUAUUCAUGUGAGAAAUAUUUUUAUAUAAUUUUUUUUGUACUUAGAAGUCUUUUCUAUAUCCUCAUCUGAUUCUUUUUGAACUAGAAAUUGGUUGGUUUAUAUUUGAGUUCAAAUGAGUUUGAAUUUGAAUGAAAACCUAGAGUCCAAAUUGUGUUGGACUCUCCUCUUCACGCCACCACCUUUCUCCAUGC
Molecule: long non-coding RNA, 199 nt
Filed under: Elaeis guineensis (African oil palm)
Lineage: Eukaryota; Viridiplantae; Streptophyta; Magnoliopsida; Arecales; Arecaceae
Description: long non-coding RNA (EGUI_LNC081778)
Source: RNAcentral